GGGGACUUAGCUCAGUGGUAGAGUGCUUGCCUAGCAAGCAUAAGGCCCUGGGUUCGGUCCCCAGCCCCG
RNAcentral lists this transfer RNA (69 nucleotides) under Rattus norvegicus (Norway rat). It matches the Rfam family "tRNA". From Rfam's summary of the family: Transfer RNA (tRNA) molecules are approximately 80 nucleotides in length. The record is from Rfam by way of RNAcentral. Lineage: Eukaryota; Metazoa; Chordata; Mammalia; Rodentia; Muridae.